CCCAAUGGGGGGCUGACUACUACAUGCAGUCGAGCGAAUGAUGAGGAGCUUGCUCCUCUGAUUUAGCGGCGGACGGGUGAGUAACACGUGGGUAAUCUGCCUGUAAGACGGGGAUAACUCCGGGAAACCGGGGCUAAUACCGGAUAAUAAGAGAAGAAGCAUUUCUUCUUUUUGAAAGUCGGUUUCGGCUGACACUUACAGAUGAGCCCGCGGCGCAUUAGCUAGUUGGUGAGGUAACGGCUCACCAAGGCGACGAUGCGUAGCCGACCUGAGAGGGUGAUCGGCCACACUGGGACUGAGACACGGCCCAGACUCCUACGGGAGGCAGCAGUAGGGAAUCUUCGGCAAUGGGCGAAAGCCUGACCGAGCAACGCCGCGUGAGCGAUGAAGGCCUUCGGGUCGUAAAGCUCUGUUGUUAGAGAAGAACAAGUACGAGAGUAACUGCUCGUACCUUGACGGUACCUAACCAGAAAGCCACGGCUAACUACGUGCCAGCAGCCGCGGUAAUACGUAGGUGGCAAGCGUUAUCCGGAAUUAUUGGGCGUAAAGCGCGCGCAGGCGGUCUCUUAAGUCUGAUGUGAAAGCCCACGGCUCAACCGUGGAGGGUCAUUGGAAACUGGGAGACUUGAGUGCAGGAGAGAAAAGUGGAAUUCCACGUGUAGCGGUGAAAUGCGUAGAGAUGUGGAGGAACACCAGUGGCGAAGGCGGCUUUUUGGCCUGUAACUGACGCUGAGGCGCGAAAGCGUGGGGAGCAAACAGGAUUAGAUACCCUGGUAGUCCACGCCGUAAACGAUGAGUGCUAGGUGGUUGGGGGGUUCCACCCUCAGUGCUGAAGUUAACACAUUAAGCACUCCGCCUGGGGAGUACGACCGCAAGGUUGAAACUCAAAGGAAUUGACGGGGGCCCGCACAAGCAGUGGUAGCAUGUGGUUUAAUUCGAAGCAACGCGAAGAACCUUACCAGGUCUUGACAUCCUUUGACCACUCUAGAGAUAGAGCUUUCUCCUUCGGGGCGACAAAGUGACACGUGGUGGCAUGGCUUGUCGUCAGCUCGUGUCGUGAGAUGAUA
RNAcentral lists this ribosomal RNA (1067 nucleotides) under Fictibacillus nanhaiensis. RNAcentral describes it as "bacterial SSU rRNA". It matches the Rfam family "Bacterial small subunit ribosomal RNA", at positions 34 to 1077 of the family's 1533-position model. Lineage: Bacteria; Bacillati; Bacillota; Bacilli; Caryophanales; Fictibacillaceae. The record is from RNAcentral.